GAUGAACGCUGGCGGCGUGCCUAAUACAUGCAAGUCGAGCGAACGGACGAGAAGCUUGCUUCUCUGAUGUUAGCGGCGGACGGGUGAGUAACACGUGGAUAACCUACCUAUAAGACUGGGAUAACUUCGGGAAACCGGAGCUAAUACCGGAUAAUAUUUUGAACCGCAUGGUUCAAAAGUGAAAGACGGUCUUGCUGUCACUUAUAGAUGGAUCCGCGCUGCAUUAGCUAGUUGGUAAGGUAACGGCUUACCAAGGCAACGAUGCAUAGCCGACCUGAGAGGGUGAUCGGCCACACUGGAACUGAGACACGGUCCAGACUCCUACGGGAGGCAGCAGUAGGGAAUCUUCCGCAAUGGGCGAAAGCCUGACGGAGCAACGCCGCGUGAGUGAUGAAGGUCUUCUGAUCGUAAAACUCUGUUAUUAGGGAAGAACAUAUGUGUAAGUACCUGUGCACAUCUUGACGGUACCUAAUCAGAAAGCCACGGCUAACUACGUG
This 497-nucleotide ribosomal RNA is filed under the name uncultured bacterium. RNAcentral describes it as "partial 16S ribosomal RNA". It matches the Rfam family "Bacterial small subunit ribosomal RNA", at positions 28 to 507 of the family's 1533-position model. The record is from RNAcentral.